Molecule: ribosomal RNA, 392 nt
Filed under: uncultured bacterium
Lineage: Bacteria
Description: partial 16S ribosomal RNA
Rfam family: Bacterial small subunit ribosomal RNA
Source: RNAcentral
AUACGGAGGAUCCGAGCGUUAUCCGGAUUUAUUGGGUUUAAAGGGUGCGCAGGCGGCCAUUUAAGUCAGCGGUUAAAUCGUGGGGCUCAACCCCAUUCUGCCGUUGAUACUGGGUGGCUUGAUUGCGGUCGAGGUUGGCGGAAUUCGUUGUGUAGCGGUGAAAUGCAUAGAUAUGACGAAGAACACCGAUUGCGUAGGCAGCUGGCCAGACCGCAAAUGACGCUCAUGCACGAAAGUGCGGGGAUCGAACAGGAUUAGAUACCCUGGUAGUCCGCACAGUAAACGAUGAAUACUUGUUUUCGGCGAUAUAAUGUCGGAGGCAAAGCGAAAACGAUAAGUAUUCCACCUGGGGAGUACGCCGGCAACGGUGAAACUCAAAGUAAUUGACGGGG